Molecule: ribosomal RNA, 253 nt
Filed under: uncultured bacterium
Lineage: Bacteria
Description: partial 16S ribosomal RNA
Rfam family: Bacterial small subunit ribosomal RNA
Source: RNAcentral
UACAGAGGGUGCAAGCGUUAAUCGGAGUUACUGGGCGUAAAGGGCGCGUAGGCGGUUAUAUAAGUUAGAUGUGAAAGCCCUGGGCUUAACCUAGGAACGGCAUCUAAGACUGUAUGACUGGAGUACUGUAGAGGGUAGUGGAAUUUCCGGUGUAGCGGUGAAAUGCGUAGAGAUCGGAAGGAACACCAGUGGCGAAGGCGGCUACCUGGACAGAUACUGACGCUGAGGCGCGAGAGCGUGGGGAGCAAACAGG